RNAcentral lists this ribosomal RNA (482 nucleotides) under uncultured bacterium. RNAcentral describes it as "bacterial SSU rRNA". It matches the Rfam family "Bacterial small subunit ribosomal RNA", at positions 29 to 506 of the family's 1533-position model. The record is from RNAcentral.
UUGAACGCUGGCGGAAUGCUUUACACAUGCAAGUCGAGCGGCAGCGCGGGGGCAACCCUGGCGGCGAGCGGCGAACGGGUGAGUAAUACAUCGGAACGUACCCAGUUGUGGGGGAUAGCCCGGCGAAAGCCGGAUUAAUACCGCAUAAGUCCUGAGGGAGAAAGCGGGGGACCGUAAGGCCUCGCGCGAUUGGAGCGGCCGAUGUUCGAUUAGCUAGUUGGUGGGGUAAAGGCCUACCAAGGCGACGAUCGAUAGCUGGUCUGAGAGGACGACCAGCCACACUGUAACUGAGACACGGCCCAGACUCCUACGGGAGGCAGCAGUGGGGAAUUUUGGACAAUGGGCGAAAGCCUGAUCCAGCCAUGCCGCGUGCGGGAAGAAGGCCUUCGGGUUGUAAACCGCUUUUGUCAGGGAAGAAAUCCUUUGAGCUAAUACCUCGGAGGGAUGACGGUACCUGAAGAAUAAGCACCGGCUAACUACGU